AGGCAUUUAUCGAGACAAAGCUGGGAAGUUUGUCAUACAUGGUGGCCGUCCCUAUAAAAUUUGAAGAACCUAUAUAUGGAAAAAAGAACACCGAUUUCACAACUUUUGUGACGCCAGGAGCAGUUUUGAGCAUCACAUUUUACCUGGCAGUGGGGUUGACCGCUCUGUCCUUUGUGUUAGAGAGAAAGGAGGGUGCUGCUGGACAGGUGCUGGGUGGCAGGUGAGACCGCUC
Molecule: long non-coding RNA, 232 nt
Organism: Carassius carassius (crucian carp)
Lineage: Eukaryota; Metazoa; Chordata; Actinopteri; Cypriniformes; Cyprinidae
Exons: 3
Source: RefSeq, a predicted model, not a curated record